This is a long non-coding RNA of Raphanus sativus (radish), 1040 nucleotides long. RefSeq lists it as uncharacterized. The record is from RefSeq and is a predicted model, not a curated record. Lineage: Eukaryota; Viridiplantae; Streptophyta; Magnoliopsida; Brassicales; Brassicaceae. The transcript is spliced from 2 exons.
AACUUAAACAUCAAUUCUUAAAAUAAAUAUUAAUUUAUUAUAUUCAAAAAAAAUAAAACUUUAAAUUUAAAUCAUAAACUACAAAUAGAAAAAAUAAGACAAAAAAAAGGAAAAUUUCUUUUGGCCAAGUAGAGCCACAUAAACCACAAAAUAAAACAUAACUAUUAAAUAUACUAAACAUAUAAACUACGUUAAAAUUCUAAACUAAGUUUAUAUGAAAAAUUAAUUAAAAAGAAAGAUGAAACUUUCCGACCAAUCAGAAGCAGAUACCAGAAUAACCUCAUGAGCUGUUAGAUUACCCUAAAUCUAAGGGUGCAGAUUUGUUCUUCUCCCUCUCUCUCUCUGUCGACAGAUCUUCCUCGUUCUUUUCUCUUUUUUUUUGUAUGUCAUCUUCUCUUCUCUUCUCCUCUUCCUCAAGACAUAUGAAGAUAAAGAGACUCGCUGGUGACGAAGCUCCAGACGCUCACCGGAGAUGAACCCACGGCGGAGCUCAAGGUCGCCGUCACGCCAUCUUCUCAAUCUCGCUGUCACUCCAUCUACUCUAGCUUGCCGUUAAUCGAGCCUAACAGAGAGGAGGAAGAUUCUUCCCUAAUCUCCAUUAUUCUUUGAUCUGAUGUGUUUAUGCUGAUCUGAGAAGGUGGUUGUGUGAGUCGGUGGUGGCGUGAUGAAUCAGUAGUCUCCUCCUCCUCGGUGACAGAGCGUUAGAGCGUGGAGGAGGCAGAAAAGCUACGCCUCUGGUUCAGACCAGUCUUCAUUCUGGUGAUGAAGAUGGUGUAGCAGUCUAGUGUCCUCUCUGGUCGUCUUUUUUCGCAGCUGCAACGGUGGUUGCCUCAGUCGCCGUCAAUGUGUUAGGAAGAAGACGAAGCUUGAAGGUGGAGGAAGCAACAAGCUGUUUAGGUUUAGUUUUUUUUUUAGAAUUGGUUUAGUGUUAACCGAGGGAAAUUGUGCUGGUUUGAUUUUAUUUUCUAAUUUUUGGCUUAGUUUUGUAAACCAAAGUUUAUUUGUAAACCCAUUUUAAUUUAUAAAUAAAAUUUAUUUUA